Molecule: ribosomal RNA, 460 nt
Filed under: uncultured bacterium
Lineage: Bacteria
Description: partial 16S ribosomal RNA
Rfam family: Bacterial small subunit ribosomal RNA
Source: RNAcentral
GACGAACGCUGGCGGCGCGCUUAACACAUGCAAGUCGAGCGGUAAGGCCUCUUCGGGGGUACACGAGCGGCGAACGGGUGAGUAACACGUGGGUGACCUGCCCUCAGCUCUGGGAUAAGCCUGGGAAACUGGGUCUAAUACCGGAUAUGACCUUUCCUCGCAUGGGGUUUGGUGGAAAGUUUUUUCGGCUGGGGAUGGGCCCGCGGCCUAUCAGCUUGUUGGUGGGGUGAUGGCCUACCAAGGCGACGACGGGUAGCCGGCCUGAGAGGGCGACCGGCCACACUGGGAGUGAGACACGGCCCAGACUCCUACGGGAGGCAGCAGUGGGGAAUAUUGCGCAAGGGGCGGAAGCCUGACGCAGCGACGCCGCGUGGGGGAUGACGGCUUUCGGGUUGUAAACCUCUUUCGACCCCGACGAAUUUGGACGGUAGGGGUAGAAGAAGCACCGGCCAACUACGUG